RNAcentral lists this long non-coding RNA (981 nucleotides) under Homo sapiens (human). RNAcentral describes it as "HSALNT0348524". The stretch from base 194 to 273 matches the Rfam family "mir-3150 microRNA precursor family". The record is from RNAcentral. Lineage: Eukaryota; Metazoa; Chordata; Mammalia; Primates; Hominidae.
GCACAGCUCCGGGCAGCGACCCGCGAUGCGGCAUCCUUCCGUCCGGUCGGAGCCCUCCUAGCCCUCAGCGCGUCUAUUCCUAGCUUCGGUCCCCGCAGCCAUAUAAGCAAUGACACCCUCGCCGACUCGCCUGCCAGCUUGGCCGCCUCCCUGCAGAGGGCUGACGCUUCUCCAGAAGUUGUAAGAAAAGGAGGGAAAGCAGGCCAACCUCGAGGAUCUCCCCAGCCUUGGCGUUCAGGUGCUGAGGAGAUCGUCGAGGUUGGCCUGCUUCCCCUCACUCCUCGGGCCUUGCUCUUCCCCCAGGUGCCCACUGCCCUCCCUGCUGUGUACCACUUUCUUGCUGCCUGUGAAGAUAUAAGCUCCAUGAGAACAGCCACCUUGUUUACCUUGUUCAUGGAUACAGAACAGUGCCUGGUGCUCAAUAAAUGAACAGUGAGUGAAUAAGUGAGUGUUGAGUCAUCUAAGUGAGCUUAGAUGAACUGACAAUGAGACUGUGCACAAUGAAGAGAAAGGAGGACUCUUGAGGAAUUCCACCAGCUUGAAGAUGGCUGAAGAAAGAUGACAGAAAGCAAUCAGAGGGAUGGAGGGCAAACUAAGAAAGCAGAGUCAAGAGUAGGAAGAUUGGGAAGUGGUAGACAACAUUAGGAAAUACUGCAGAAAAACCUAAAAGGAUGAGAAUUAGGAAAGACACUAUUGAAUUUGGUCUUUGGGGCUGAAAAAAAAGGCAGCUGCAGAAAAGAAAUUGGAGUGGAACCCCAUUUGCACAGAAAUUAUGGAGUAAUUAGGACACCAGGCAGAAAGUUUGGCAAUGAAUGGAAGGAGAGAUGACAGCCUUGGGCAUUCGCUCGCAGAACGCAAGGACAUUCAUUCUUAAUUCAGUAGAAAAGUGUCGUGUUGUUACUGUCUCAAGUGGAAGCGCCCUCUCACUCCUUCAUUGUCCUAAGAGAACAAAAGGGGCCUUGAAUUUCAUGACUGCCCCAG